AGGGCGCUUUCUCCGCGCUUCCUGGGGGUGAGGGGCGUGGGGCGAGGGCAGGGUUGUGGCUCCCUGGCCCCGGGGCUGGAAUGUCUCAUCUGCCUGGGGAUGGGCUUCUCUCAGGUUGAGGCCGCGCACUGCCAAGCCUCGGCCGCCGGCCUCUGAAGCUGUUGCGAGCGGCCGGUUGCGGUAGUCGUCUGCUUGGCCAGGAGGUUGGAUAAGAACUCCAUUUUCUGUUGAUGUGGAGACAUAGGGUACCUCCAACUUUCCGGGGUUUCAGAAGAGAAUUUUUUAUUGAAACUGGAAGACCAAAAUAAUUACAAGCAUGUUGUGCUGGGGAAAUGCAUCCUUUGGACAGCUAGGUUUGGGUGGAAUUGAUGAAGAAAUUGUACUAGAGCCCAGAAAAAGUGACUUCUUUAUAAAUAAAAGGGUCCGAGAUGUAGGAUGUGGACUCAGACAUACUGUGUUUGUUCUGGAUGAUGGAACAGUGUACACAUGUGGAUGUAAUGAUCUAGGACAGCUAGGUCAUGAAAAAUCCAGAAAGAAACCAGGACCCUACAUCUGAGGAAUUUCAAGAGCAUUACACA
Molecule: small RNA, 578 nt
Filed under: Pan troglodytes (chimpanzee)
Lineage: Eukaryota; Metazoa; Chordata; Mammalia; Primates; Hominidae
Description: processed transcript
Source: RNAcentral